UCAAGAUCGCCUUUGUUGUUGAUAUGAAACCGUGUAAAUGACUUGUAGUUAGCAAUACGAAGUGAUGAAAAGGCUUCGUCGAAAUGUAUAUGAAGCCAGUUAAUGCAAAUGUAUAGGUAGCUUCCGAAUACCAAAGAAACCACCGGAGUUGAAAAGACCCAAAAAUAAAGGAAGACGGAUGCAUAAUAAAUUACAGCACCCCCUCGAGAUAGUGAAUCCAUCCCAUUCUUGCAGAUAGUAUUCCUAGUAACUGCCAUUACCUCAGGAACAUCAAAAGCAGACAUGAGAUAUUUAAUACAUGCCGGAUAAAGGCCAAAUGUCCAGUGUUCAAUUCGUUCCUUAAGACCCGUUGGGUCUGGA
This 360-nucleotide unclassified non-coding RNA is filed under the name Hevea brasiliensis (rubber tree). Lineage: Eukaryota; Viridiplantae; Streptophyta; Magnoliopsida; Malpighiales; Euphorbiaceae. The record is from RNAcentral.